Aedes albopictus (Asian tiger mosquito) is the source of this 72-nucleotide non-coding RNA. NCBI's taxonomy places the organism in Eukaryota, Metazoa, Arthropoda, Insecta, Diptera, Culicidae. The record is from Rfam.
GCCGGGGUGGCGCAAUUGGUCACACGUUUGCUUCAUAAGCAGAUGGUUAUGGGUUCGAUCCCAGCCCCGGCA